This 450-nucleotide ribosomal RNA is filed under the name uncultured bacterium. RNAcentral describes it as "partial 16S ribosomal RNA". It matches the Rfam family "Bacterial small subunit ribosomal RNA", at positions 354 to 796 of the family's 1533-position model. The record is from RNAcentral.
GUGGGGAAUAUUGGACAAUGGGCGAAAGCCUGAUCCAGCCAUGCCGCGUGUGUGAAGAAGGUCUUCGGAUUGUAAAGCACUUUAAGUUGGGAGGAAGGGCAGUAAGUUAAUACCUUGCUGUUUUGACGUUACCGACAGAAUAAGCACCGGCUAACUUCGUGCCAGCAGCCGCGGUAAUACGAAGGGUGCAAGCGUUAAUCGGAAUUACUGGGCGUAAAGCGCGCGUAGGUGGUUUUGUAAGUUGGAGGUGAAAUCCCCGGGCUCAAACUGGGAACUGCCUCCAAAACUGCAUGACUAGAGUACGGUAGAGGGUAGUGGAAUUUCCUGUGUAGCGGUGAAAUGCGUAGAUAUAGGAAGGAACACCAGUGGCGAAGGCGACUACCUGGACUGAUACUGACACUGAGGUGCGAAAGCGUGGGGAGCAAACAGGAUUAGAAACCCUUGUAGUCC